RNAcentral lists this ribosomal RNA (477 nucleotides) under uncultured bacterium. RNAcentral describes it as "partial 16S ribosomal RNA". It matches the Rfam family "Bacterial small subunit ribosomal RNA", at positions 28 to 523 of the family's 1533-position model. The record is from RNAcentral.
GACGAACGCUGGCGGCAUGCCUAACACAUGCAAGUCGAGCGAGCAGAUCCCUUCGGGGUGAAGCUAGCGGCGGACGGGUGAGUAACACGUGGCAACCUGCCUCAUAGAGGGGAAUAGCCUUCCGAAAGGAAGAUUAAUACCGCAUAAGAUUGUAGCUUCGCAUGAAGUAGCAAUUAAAGGAGCAAUCCACUAUGAGAUGGGCCCGCGGCGCAUUAGCUAGUUGGUGAGGUAACGGCUCACCAAGGCGACGAUGCGUAGCCGACCUGAGAGGGUGAUCGGCCACAUUGGGACUGAGACACGGCCCAGACUCCUACGGGAGGCAGCAGUGGGGAAUAUUGCACAAUGGGGGAAACCCUGAUGCAGCAAUGCCGCGUGAGUGAUGACGGCCUUCGGGUUGUAAGGCUCUGUCUUCGGGGACGAUAAUGACGGUACCCGAGGAGGAAGCCACGGCUAACUACGUGCCAGCCGCCGCCGUAA